Dichomitus squalens LYAD-421 SS1 is the source of this 130-nucleotide transfer RNA. It matches the Rfam family "tRNA". Rfam says of the family: Transfer RNA (tRNA) molecules are approximately 80 nucleotides in length. Their secondary structure includes four short double-helical elements and three loops (D, anti-codon, and T loops). The record is from Rfam. NCBI's taxonomy places the organism in Eukaryota, Fungi, Basidiomycota, Agaricomycetes, Polyporales, Polyporaceae.
GACACUAUGGCCGAGUGGUUAAGGCGACAGAUUCGAACUGUAGACUAUCUGCUCCUUUAGGGGAGCGGGAUUUGAACCUACACUUAUCUGUUUCGCUCUGCGAGCGCAGGUUCAAAUCCUGCUGGUGUCG